Peromyscus maniculatus bairdii (prairie deer mouse) is the source of this 104-nucleotide small nuclear RNA. The record is from Ensembl. Lineage: Eukaryota; Metazoa; Chordata; Mammalia; Rodentia; Cricetidae.
GUGUCGGCUUCGGCAGCACCGAUAUUACAACUGGAACGGUACAGAUGGGAUUAGCAUGGCCCCUGCUCAAUGACAAGCAAAUCCCUGCAGUGUUCCGUAUUUGU